CUUUCUGAAGGCACGUUCUCUCAUUUGCUUGAUGAAAACAACUGGGAUGACAGACCAUGAAUAACUUGUUAUCUUUGGGCAUUGAGCCGCCUGUUGGGAUGCAAGGCAUGUUGGUCUAACUCUUGGGAAAUGACUUGUCUGGGAGGCCAGCUGACACCAGCAAAUAUAAAGUUGAAGGGAAACAUCAACGGCUACCACCAACUCUGUCCAACUCUGUGGGAGCCAUGCUCCGAGGUUCAACUUUGCCCGCCCAAAUGAACUACUUUCUCCAUGGAAGAGUCCCG
Prionailurus viverrinus (fishing cat) is the source of this 284-nucleotide long non-coding RNA. RefSeq lists it as uncharacterized. NCBI's taxonomy places the organism in Eukaryota, Metazoa, Chordata, Mammalia, Carnivora, Felidae. The transcript has 3 exons. The record is from RefSeq and is a predicted model, not a curated record.